GAACGCUGGCGGCAAGCCUUACACAUGCAAGUCGAGCGGUAACAUUUCUAGCUUGCUAGAAGAUGACGAGCGGCGGACGGGUGAGUAAAGCAUAGGGAUCUGGCCAAUAGAGGGGGAUAGCCCGGAGAAAUCCGGAUUAAUACCGCAUACACUCUAUGGAGAAAAAGCAGGGGAUCUUCGGACCUUGCGCUAUUGGAUGAGCCUAUGUCGGAUUAGUUAGUUGGUGGGGUAAAGGCCUACCAAGGCGACGAUCCGUAGCUGGUCUUAGAGGAUGAUCAGCCACAUCGGGACUGAGACACGGCCCGAACUCCUACGGGAGGCAGCAGUGGGGAAUAUUGCACAAUGGGCGCAAGCCUGAUGCAGCUAUGCCGCGUGUGUGAAGAAGGCCUUAGGGUUGUAAAGCACUUUCAGUAGUGAGGAAAAGUGUUGUGUUAAUAGCGCAGUGCUGUGACGUUAGCUACAGAAGAAGGACCGGCAAACUCCGUG
RNAcentral lists this ribosomal RNA (486 nucleotides) under uncultured bacterium. Its description in RNAcentral is "bacterial SSU rRNA". It matches the Rfam family "Bacterial small subunit ribosomal RNA", at positions 31 to 507 of the family's 1533-position model. The record is from RNAcentral.